GAGAGAGCGAGAACUAGAAGAAAAAGAAAAGCUAAGGCGAGAAGCUCUCUUGGGGAGAACAACUGAUGGGCCUUCUGAAUUUCCUGCUGGGUCCCUUUCAGAGCCUGGGGCUGCUGCUGCUGCUGCUGCUGCACCAUCCCCUGGAAAAUAUGUGCCAAGGUUCCGGCGAGAAAGAGAAGGCUCAGACCAGGCUUCUCCAGAUUCUGACAGAUGGAGUGGAGGAAGCAGUAGGCAGGCUUCUGAUCCCGAACGGUGGAGUGGUGGGAGUACCAGGCAGCCACCUGCGGAUGCAGAACGGUGGGGCAGUGGGGGCACCAAGCCUCCUUCAGACACUGAUCGAUGGGGCAGUGGCGGCACUAGGCAGCCUCGUGCAGAUUCUGAUCGCUGGGGCAUUGGCACAAGGCCUGAGGAUCGCAACCCGCCUGGUGAUAGGUGGCGUAGCAGCAGCUCAAAGUCCACUUGGUCAUCAUCUAGGCCACUGGCACGCUGAUCGUCGGAGUUUUUAAAUGUGGACAUAUUGAAUUCGUAUGCACAGAAACAGUAAUGAUAGCUGAAGUUUCUCCCAGAAACCCUUGUUUCUAAUUUUGAGACUUGCAGUUAAAGAGUGAGACGUUUUCUUAGUUACUUUUGUGAGACGAUCCCCAUGUAGAUUAAGAUUUUAAUUUAAGGUGAUGUGCCAUUUUUCGUGGGCACUUGUGUAAUGCCAUAUCCUCUUCUCUGUUACAAGUUGUUUAUUAGAUACAAGGGUUUCUGGGAGAAACUUCAGCUA
RNAcentral lists this unclassified non-coding RNA (769 nucleotides) under Hevea brasiliensis (rubber tree). Lineage: Eukaryota; Viridiplantae; Streptophyta; Magnoliopsida; Malpighiales; Euphorbiaceae. The record is from RNAcentral.